Molecule: long non-coding RNA, 1433 nt
Filed under: Medicago truncatula (barrel medic)
Lineage: Eukaryota; Viridiplantae; Streptophyta; Magnoliopsida; Fabales; Fabaceae
Description: lncRNA gene245
Source: RNAcentral
GCCAAAAUUGGAAUAAAAAAAUUGACCUGUGCAGCCAUUGGGAUGAUAAGGAUUUCCUUCAAAACCUUGAUUGCAAUGGCAUCGCGGUAACCAAAAUAUGUGUCCUUGUCAUCACAAUAGCUAUUCUUCUUGCACCCAUAGUUGACUCCAUUCUUCUUGGAAGAAGCAGUACUGCAGUUUUCCUUGCUAAUGGUCCAGUCAAGAACCACCGGUAAUCUCUUGAAGGUAAACCUUGUGAUAAAUGAGUGGAUGAAAAAUCAUAGCUACCAUUCCUAACAACAAAUGAAUAGCUACAAAAUUUGGAUGAAGUGUUGAAAUUAGAAGCUUGUAUGCUUACAUUCCUCAUUUUAGGAUGAAUAUCAAUUUGGCAACACCCUACACCCGAACAUUUUCCAUCAUUUAUUUGAUCACCAAAAGUUCUUGUUAAGCACCCUGUUGAAUAUGCAAUAUCGUUACCACUGUAACUAUUAAAAUAACCGUAACUGUUACCAACGGUUACAAAUUUGUUUUCUUUGCUUGAAAUGGUAUAUGUACCACUGUUAAGCCCAACUUUAGUAUAAGUAUAAUUAUCAACACUGCAGUACUCAGAGACGUAAAAUAACACGUCGAUUUCAGCUUUGGUGGUGUUUAUGUUUGACACUUCCAAGUUAUCACCCAUGUAUAUUUUGGAUUCAUUGCAAUGGAGCUGAAUUAAUCUUCCGCCCACAAAACAAUCUGAAUUUGACGAAGUGUCGUUUAUGCCAAAUGGAUAUGGAAUUUCUUUAUCUCCACAAGUGUGACUGCAGGUAUUUAAUGGUGUUGAAUCAGCUGCAACUGUUCCUACCAAAUUCACCAUGGUUAAUGAAAGGAAAAUUUGUGAAGCGUGUCACGAUUUCGCAAUGCCGUGAGUUGUUUUGCAGAUUGUCCAAUGGUGACACGAUUUUGGGAAAACAUAACACGAUUUUUGGCUUGCUGAGUACAUUUUUCAAGAUAAGGUUGGUCAUACCUUGGGUUGUACGCACCAAACGUGUCACGAUUUGCGAAAACGUGACACGAUUUUGACAGCUGAAGACUCCUAUAUAAGUAUUCUUUGCAGAUUUUGAAUGAGAGAUUGAAGAGAGAGAAACUUGGGAAAUCAAAGGAGAUAACUUUAAGGUUGAGGGUCUUUGAUUAGAGUUCUCUUGGAUUGGGAAACAUUGUAAACACCUUGGGUGAGUGAAAAUCAUUGAGUGUCUUGUUCAUUGGUGAGAUUGGGAAAAUGGGUAGAAAUUAGGGUUGUUCUUUGUGAAUCUAUUGAAGCUAAAUUCUUGUAACUCAUUUGUAUCUCUUUGUAAGAACUCAUUGAUAGUGGAUUGGAGAGAUCAAUCUCUCCACCAGAUUAGGUCAAAUUGGACCAAACAAUCUUUGGUGUGUUUGUUUAUUUUCUCUCUUUAUCUUUUGCUUGUAGUUUUGUG